GACGAACGCUGGCGGCGUGCUUAACACAUGCAAGUCGAACGGAAAGGCCCUGCUUGCAGGGUACUCGAGUGGCGAACGGGUGAGUAACACGUGGGUGAUCUGCCCUGCACUUCGGGAUAAGCUUGGGAAACUGGGUCUAAUACCGGAUAGGAGCCAUCUUUAGUGUGGUGGUUGGAAAGUUUUUUCGGUGUAGGAUGAGCUCGCGGCCUAUCAGCUUGUUGGUGGGGUAAUGGCCUACCAAGGCGGCGACGGGUAGCCGGCCUGAGAGGGUGUACAGCCACAUUGGGACUGAGAUACGGCCCAGACUCCUACGGGAGGCAGCAGUGGGGAAUAUUGCACAAUGGGCGCAAGCCUGAUGCAGCGACGCCGCGUGGGGGAUGAAGGCCUUCGGGUUGUAAACUCCUUUCGCUAGGGACGAAGCUUUUUUGUGACGGUACCUAGAUAAGAAGCACCGGCUAACUACGUG
Molecule: ribosomal RNA, 466 nt
Filed under: uncultured bacterium
Lineage: Bacteria
Description: partial 16S ribosomal RNA
Rfam family: Bacterial small subunit ribosomal RNA
Source: RNAcentral